Long non-coding RNA from Zophobas morio, 471 nucleotides. RefSeq lists it as uncharacterized. The transcript has 5 exons. The record is from RefSeq and is a predicted model, not a curated record. NCBI's taxonomy places the organism in Eukaryota, Metazoa, Arthropoda, Insecta, Coleoptera, Tenebrionidae.
UAACGGUGUGAUGGCACAGCAAGAUCUUUUUAUUAAAAAUAUAACUUAUUCCCAACUUCUGACGAUAAAACACUCCUUAAAGGAGGAGGCGGCCUACUGUAGGCAAUCAUUGAACCAGCUAGAAAUUGCCUUAUCGAGAUUUAAAAAAAGUUUUGACGACACUCUGGAAGUUUUUAACUUAGAAAAAGAAACUGAACAGUCUUUUAUACCUCUAAGUUCUUCUUUGUAUGUUAAAGGCACAUUAAGAAAUACUAGUAAAGUUCUCGUGGACAUUGGUACUGGUUAUUACGUGGAAAAAAAUCUUGAGCAAGCAAAGUUAUAUUUUACACGACGGAUGAAUUUUUUGCGCACGAAUAUACAAAAGUUGUGGGAAACUUUGAAAGAAAAAGAAAACCAAUAUAAUAUUGUUGCAGAUCUGGCCGAAGCUAAAUUAUUGCAAAGUAGCUCACCUGGAGAAAACCAACUUGUUUG